This 432-nucleotide unclassified non-coding RNA is filed under the name soil metagenome. RNAcentral describes it as "partial contains 5.8S ribosomal RNA, internal transcribed spacer 2, and large subunit ribosomal RNA". The stretch from base 1 to 120 matches the Rfam family "5.8S ribosomal RNA", at positions 35 to 154 of the family's 154-position model. The record is from RNAcentral.
GAUGAAGAACGUAGUGAAAUGCGAUACGUAAUGUGAAUUGCAGAAUUCAGUGAAUCAUCGAAUCUUUGAACGCAUAUUGCGCUCUCUGGUAUUCCGGAGAGCAUGCUUGUUUGAGUAUCAGUAAACACCUCAACUUCCAUAUCUUUUUUGAAAUGGGAGUUGGACUUGAGUGAUCCCAACGCUUUUCCUCACCGAAAAGUGGCGGGUUACUUGAAAUGCAGGUGCAGCUGGACUUUUCUCUGAGCUAUAAGCAUAUCUAUUUAGUCUGCCUAAAAAACAGAUUAUUACCUUUGCUGCAGCUAACAUAAAGGAGAUUAGUUCUUGUGCUGACUGAUGCAGGAUUCACAAAGACAGGCUUCGGCCGACUUUGUAAACUCGAUCUCAAAUCAAGUAAGACUACCCGCUGAACUUAAGCAUAUCAAUAAGCGGAGG